This 437-nucleotide ribosomal RNA is filed under the name Cherax quinquecarinatus. Its description in RNAcentral is "partial 16S ribosomal RNA". It matches the Rfam family "Archaeal large subunit ribosomal RNA", at positions 2009 to 2646 of the family's 2987-position model. The record is from RNAcentral. Lineage: Eukaryota; Metazoa; Arthropoda; Malacostraca; Decapoda; Parastacidae.
CGCGGUAUUACGCCCGUGCGAAGGUAGCAUAAUCAUUAGUCUUUUAAUUGGAGGCUGGAAUGAAUGGUUGGACGAGAAAUAAACUGUCUUUGUCCUAAAAAUUGAAUUUAACUUUUAAGUGAGAGGGCUUAAAUGUAUUAAAGGGACGAUAAGACCCUGUAAAGUUUAUACAUUAAGUUAAUUAAAAAUAAUUAAGGAGAUUAAAAUUUAUUAUUGGGUAGAUGUUUAGUUGGGGCGACUAGGAUAUAAUUUAAUUAUAACUGUCUUAGAUUAAGGUCAAAGAUAUUUGAGUUUGUGAUCCUUUCUUAGGAUUCAAGAACAAGUUACUUCAGGGAUAACAGCGUAAUUUUUUUUGAGAGUUCUUAUCGACAAAAGAGUUUGCGACCUCGAUGUUGAAUUAAAAGUUUCUCUGAAGUGUAGCAAUUUCAGGAGAAGGU